Molecule: non-coding RNA, 30 nt
Filed under: Mus musculus (house mouse)
Lineage: Eukaryota; Metazoa; Chordata; Mammalia; Rodentia; Muridae
Source: RNAcentral
UCCAGAAGAGAAUAGAUUGAAAACCUCGCU